This 316-nucleotide long non-coding RNA is filed under the name Lathyrus oleraceus (garden pea). RNAcentral describes it as "Pisum sativum (pea) long non-coding RNA (PSAT_LNC018784)". Lineage: Eukaryota; Viridiplantae; Streptophyta; Magnoliopsida; Fabales; Fabaceae. The record is from RNAcentral.
UAUGAGCAGCUGCUCGUGAAAAAGUUGAGAGAGAAUAUGAAUGACUUUUUUUGUACGUUGUUGUAUAUGUCUCUAAAUGAGGUAGGUUUUCCUUUAUAUAGUAGUGAGAAGGACCGUUGGAGUGAUGACAGAAUAUUGGUCUUUGAUGAGCAUUCAAUGUCAUUACUUUUGUGUUUCUUGCCAUAACCAUUUUGUCUCCCUGAAUAACUUCUUUCUUGUAGUGAGAAGGACCGUUGGAGUGAUGACAGAAUAUUGGUCUUUGAUGAGCAUUCAAUGUCAUUACUUUUGUGUUUCUUGCCAUAACCAUUUUGUCUCC